RNAcentral lists this ribosomal RNA (549 nucleotides) under Triticum aestivum (bread wheat). RNAcentral's name for it is "partial small subunit ribosomal RNA". Lineage: Eukaryota; Viridiplantae; Streptophyta; Magnoliopsida; Poales; Poaceae. The record is from RNAcentral.
AUGGCCAGCAGCAAGACAUUGCUCCUCGUCCUGUGCGCGGCGGCUGCGGCUGCGAUGCUGAGCCCGGCUUCCGCGGCGGACGACCUGACCAAGUUCAAGGUGUACUUCCACGACGUGCUAGCGGGGAAGAGCCCGACGGCGAUCCGGAUUGCUCAGGCCGCGUCCACCAACAGCUCCUCCACCUUCUUCGGCGCGGUGGUGGCCAUCGACGACCCGCUCACCACUACCCCCGCCGUCACGGGCUCCGCCAAAUCCAAGGACGAGGUGGGCCGCGCGCAGGGGAGUUACACGUUCGCCGACCAGGCCACCUUCGGGCUCCUCAUGAACAUGAACUUCGUGUUCACCGCCGGGGACUACAAGGGCAGCAGCCUGACCAUCUACGGCCGCAACGAGGUGCUUUCGGCGGUGAGGGAGAUGAGCAUCAUCGGGGGCACGGGCAAGUUCCGCAUGGCUCGCGGCUACGUCCAGGCGAGCACCGUGGACUCCGGUGCCAAGUCCGGCGAGACCGUCGUCGAGUACACUGUCUACGUCAAGGCUGCGGCGGCGUAG